UAACAGCAUAACAUCACAACUCACCUGUAAAAAAAUGUUUUCUCACUCUCUCGAUCACAACUUACGAGAACACUUCAUUUCAGAUAUUUGCAUCUGAUCUUUACUUGAACAAAAUAUUUUUCUCUCUCAAGCUCAACUCUUUGUUUAUCUUUUGAUUUUCCCUUCUUUUACUCAAAUGCCUAAGUCAAAUCAAAUUUGAUGAAACACAAAGCGAAAAUUACUGGAGGAGCUUACACCAGAAUGAAUUUUGCUCCAAUUAUGUUAAAUCGGAUUUUCUUUCUCUAUUUUUUCUUCAGUUCGACCUAGGGUCUGAGCUACUGUUAUGAUCCUUUUGGUCUUAGCAAGAAGCAGAAGACUUCACCAAAUAUUGAUAAGGUGAUCCAUGCCAGAUGGGCUAUGCUCGGCACUGCUGGAUUUAUUUUCCCUAAAGCCUUCAACAAAUUUGGUGUCAACUGUGCUUCUGAGGCUGUUUGGUUCAAGGAAUGACGGUUUACGUUCAAGCCUGAAAUGCGGGGUGUUACAACGUCCUCCCGGAAGUGAGAGCGAGGUUACAACGUUCAAAAUCCGUUGUAUCAAAGAUAACUACCUUGUUAUCACGCAGGAGUUGCAUGUGCACCGCGGAUAUGCCAAUGCUUUUCUGCAACAUCCGCCCUUGGCCUAGGAGGCGUCUACGACUAUGAGAAACCAACAUCUGAGAAGCUAAUGGAGGUUGAAGAGCGGGAAACAUUAGUACUAGUAAGAAGAGGAAAAUGAUACUUUCCUUGUCCAUAAGUUGAAAAUAUUUUUUAUGUUAAGUUUGAUAGAAUUUAGGAGUUUUAUAGUUAGUGUCCAUAUAUUUAUAUUCCAAGAAAGUAUUGAAUUCAAGCUGAAUUGAAUUAGAAUUCAAAGAAAAUGACUUCAUCACUAAGUGAAAUUCUGUUUUUUCAUGUGCCCAGAAAGUAAGGGGCUGCCAGAAUUUUGCUGGAAUUUGCA
Capsicum annuum is the source of this 972-nucleotide long non-coding RNA. RefSeq lists it as uncharacterized. Lineage: Eukaryota; Viridiplantae; Streptophyta; Magnoliopsida; Solanales; Solanaceae. The transcript has 4 exons. The record is from RefSeq and is a predicted model, not a curated record.